RNAcentral lists this long non-coding RNA (208 nucleotides) under Hordeum vulgare. RNAcentral's name for it is "long non-coding RNA (HVUL_LNC019142)". Lineage: Eukaryota; Viridiplantae; Streptophyta; Magnoliopsida; Poales; Poaceae. The record is from RNAcentral.
CGUCUUUAGGUGCGACUACAUUGAGUAUAUAUGAGGGGCAAUACAUGAGAGUCCUUAAAGGACAAGUAAACGAGUUGUACUCAUACACGUCGGUACCAACGCAAAGGCCCAUACCGUUUAUACUACGUUUAGUCCAAUACGAUAGAAUUUGAAUCAUAAUUUAGCAGUGUUAGCGCUCUACAUGCACUGAGCAUAAAAAGUCGUGGAG